GCAGGGUCAGCUAAAAAAGCUUUUGGGCCCAUACCCCGAAAAUGUUGGUUCAACACCUUCCUCUGCU
This 67-nucleotide transfer RNA is filed under the name Microlophus koepckeorum. RNAcentral describes it as "tRNA-Met". Lineage: Eukaryota; Metazoa; Chordata; Lepidosauria; Squamata; Tropiduridae. The record is from RNAcentral.